AACGAACGCUGGCGGCAGGCUUAACACAUGCAAGUCGAGCGCCCCGCCAGGGGAGCGGCCGACGGGUGAGUAACGCGUGGGAACGUACCUUUUGGUUCGUAACAACUCCGGGAAACUGGAGCUAAUACCGGAUAAGCCCUAACGGGGAAAGAUUUAUCGCCGAAAGAUCGGCCCGCGUCUGAUUAGCUAGUUGGUGAGGUAACGGCUCACCAAGGCGACGAUCAGUAGCUGGUCUGAGAGGAUGAUCAGCCACACUGGGACUGAGACACGGCCCAGACUCCUACGGGAGGCAGCAGUGGGGAAUAUUGGACAAUGGGCGCAAGCCUGAUACAGCCAUGCCGCGUGAGUGAUGAAGGCCUUAGGGUUGUAAAGCUCUUUUGUCCGGGAAGAUAAUGACUGUACCGGAAGAAUAAGCCCCGGCUAACUUCGUG
RNAcentral lists this ribosomal RNA (431 nucleotides) under uncultured bacterium. Its description in RNAcentral is "partial 16S ribosomal RNA". It matches the Rfam family "Bacterial small subunit ribosomal RNA", at positions 29 to 507 of the family's 1533-position model. The record is from RNAcentral.